GACGAACGCUGGCGGUGUGCUUAACACAUGCAAGUCGAACGGAAAGGCCCUGCUUCUGUGGGGUGCUCGAGUGGCGAACGGGCGAGUAACACGUUAGUAACCUGCCCUUGACUUUGGGAUAAUUUCAGGAAACUGGGGCUAAUACCGGAUAGGUGCUCCUGCUGCAUGGUGGGGGUUGGAAAGUUUCGGCGGUUGGGGAUGGACUCGCGGCUUAUCAGCUUGUUGGUGGGGUAGGGGCUUACCAAGGCUUUGACGGGUACCCGGCCUGAGUGGGUGAUCGGCCACAUUGGGACUGAGAUACGGCCCAGACUCCUACGGGAGGGAGCAGUGGGGAAUAUUGCACAAUGGGCGGAAGCCUGAUGCAGCAACGCCGCGUGCGGGAUGACGGCCUUCGGGUUGUAAACCGCUUUCGCCUGUGACGAAGCGUGAGUGACGGUAAUGGGUAAAGAAGCACCGGCUAACUACGUG
This 468-nucleotide ribosomal RNA is filed under the name uncultured bacterium. Its description in RNAcentral is "partial 16S ribosomal RNA". It matches the Rfam family "Bacterial small subunit ribosomal RNA", at positions 28 to 507 of the family's 1533-position model. The record is from RNAcentral.